UGAAUUAGCUUGCGAAAUUGUGAGGUC
This 27-nucleotide non-coding RNA is filed under the name Bombyx mori (domestic silkworm). Lineage: Eukaryota; Metazoa; Arthropoda; Insecta; Lepidoptera; Bombycidae. The record is from RNAcentral.